Molecule: ribosomal RNA, 467 nt
Filed under: uncultured bacterium
Lineage: Bacteria
Description: partial 16S ribosomal RNA
Rfam family: Bacterial small subunit ribosomal RNA
Source: RNAcentral
GACGAACGCUGGCGGCGUGCUUAACACAUGCAAGUCGAACGGUGAAGCUCCAGCUUGCUGGAGUGGAUCAGUGGCGAACGGGUGAGUAACACGUGAGCAACCUGCCCCUGACUCUGGAAUAAGCGCUGGAAACGGCGUCUAAUACUGGAUACGAGAAGGGUCCGCAUGGGCACUUUCUGGAAAGUUUUUCGGUUGGGGAUGGGCUCGCGGCCUAUCAGCUUGUUGGUGAGGUAAUGGCUCACCAAGGCGACGACGGGUAGCCGGCCUGAGAGGGCGACCGGCCACACUGGGACUGAGACACGGCCCAGACUCCUACGGGAGGCAGCAGUGGGGAAUAUUGCACAAGGGGCGAAAGCCUGAUGCAGCGACGCCGCGUGAGGGAUGACGGCCUUCGGGUUGUAAACCUCUUUCAGCAGGGAAGAAGCGAAAGUGACGGUACCUGCAGAAGAAGCACCGGCUAACUACGU